RNAcentral lists this transfer-messenger RNA (383 nucleotides) under candidate division TM6 bacterium RIFCSPHIGHO2_12_FULL_36_22. It matches the Rfam family "transfer-messenger RNA". From Rfam's summary of the family: Bacterial tmRNA, also known as 10Sa RNA or SsrA, is named for its dual tRNA and mRNA-like properties. Its role is to liberate the mRNA from a stalled ribosome. RNAcentral also lists the same sequence under 1 other name. The record is from RNAcentral.
GGGGGCGCGCAUGGCUUCGACGUGUUGUUGAGGACAUGGAGUGCAUGCCGAGCGUUAUCUGAGUGCUCGCUAAACAAUCAGGUAAAACAAUAAGUGCAGGAUUUAGUUCCUCACAACCAAGCGGCUACCAAGCCGUUGCAGUUGCGUAAGUAACUCGUGGUUCUUGUUAGUGACGCGUGUCUAUCAGUGGAUCUAACUCGUAUUAAUUAGAUAGAACCUUCAGGCAAGAUUUUUUAGUUCUGUAGCCUGUUUGUAUCACUGGACUGACGAGUAUCGGUUCUUGUGUCUUUGAAAGCCUAUACUUGUACUUACAAAGACUAAGCAUGUAGUGCUACGUGGCUAAAGCAGUGCGGACAUGGGUUCGACUCCCAUCGCCUCCACCA